Molecule: ribosomal RNA, 402 nt
Filed under: uncultured Alphaproteobacteria bacterium
Lineage: Bacteria; Pseudomonadati; Pseudomonadota; Alphaproteobacteria
Description: bacterial SSU rRNA
Rfam family: Bacterial small subunit ribosomal RNA
Source: RNAcentral
AGUGAGGAAUAUUGCGCAAUGGGGGAAACCCUGACGCAGCCAUGCCGCGUGAGUGAAGAAGGCCUUAGGGUUGUAAAGCUCUUUCAGUCGUGAAGAUAAUGACGGUAGCGACAGAAGAAGCCCCGGCUAAAUUCGUGCCAGCAGCCGCGGUAAUACGAAUGGGGCAAGCGUUGUUCGGAAUCACUGGGCUUAAAGCGUGCGCAGGCGGAUAUGAAAGUCAGGAGUGAAAUCCCAGGGCUCAACCUUGGAAUUGCUUUUGAAACUCCAUAUCUAGAAUCCGGUAGAGGUCAGUGGAAUUCCGAGUGUAGAGGUGAAAUUCGCAGAUAUUCGGAGGAACACCAGUGGCGAAGGCGACUGACUGGACCGGUAUUGACGCUCAGGCACGAAAGCGUGGGGAGCAAA